AUAAAUAAACAAGGACGAGUGGAAGGAUCCCCUUGGUUAUCAAGGAAAGGCAAUUGGUCAAAGGUUUAAACGUUACCUUAUCAUGAAUCUCUGGUUUUUAGUUUUUCGUUGUCGUCGUUGUUUGGAAGAAAUGUAAUAUUCGUCACUCCCUGUGCUACAUGUUUAUUUUCUACUGCCAUACCAAUUUUGUUCGUUAGUAGUAGCAAUUCUGGAUCACCGAGGACUUGAACAGUGGAAGGUGUGGAAAUGUGGUUGACUCUGAUUUCCUUUUAGCAGACAGAUUUAUUAAACAGUUCAUUCCUUCAGUUACUCACGUAGCAGCUAAGAGGCUCAAAACCGUGUGAAGGAAGCAGUUGAUGCUGUGAGCUAAAGUUUCUUUAGAGUUUACUCCCCCAUAAAUUAUGAUGGGGGAGUAUAGAAUCUAUAAGUAAGUCCAAUUGUGUUUUCAGGUAAAGUAGUAUGAAAAUCAUACUAGUAAUUUAAACUUUUAUUAAAGGGGUACCUAGAUAAAAACUAUGAGACAAAUAACUAUUAGUGUGAUUUUUUUUUUAUUACUGUCAUUUAAAAACUAAAAUGGCCUAGUAGGUCAGGAUUUUGGUGAAAACCUAAAGCCCAAUUCCUUGAUCCUCUUGUUCAUUUUGCACUCACAUUUUUCUCUUAAGCUAAAACAGACUCAUGGUAGCAUUUUUUAAUUGAACUUAGUAAACCACUAUUGAUAAGCUGCGUGAGGGCAUGUACCAGUGAUUCUUCAGUUACGUUUCUCUAAACUGGUAGUCUAUAUGCUUUAUGUAGUAACAUUUCAUUAGGCACAAAGCCUUUUCUCAGAAGCCACAUUUUAUAGAGGAGAGGAAAUGCAUUAGCAUCCUUUGAACAUCAGAAUUGGUUAUCUUCAGCUUGGGUAAAUAUAGUCUUAUACUGCAAUGUUUUCAUCAUAAUUUUUGUACUGAAAAAAAAAAAGGGAUCGAGAUAAUCUCACUACUUUAUGGGUUUUUCCUCUUUCCCAAAGAGAUGAGAAAGUUUAAACUCUAAAAUUUUACCGUGCUAUUCAAUGUGCUCAUAUGAAGGAAGAGCAUUGAGAAUAAAAAUAGAUUUCAGACCUUUGGACAUCGGAUAAAUUCAUAUGUAGGUAAAUGUAGUGGAAUAAUUCAAGAGUGUAUACUUCAAAUGUGUAACGUAUUCAAAUUUAAGGUAUUUGUUACAUGAGAUCAUAAGUCCAGACCUUAUUAUUUAUUUAUUUUUAAAUUUUUAUUGGCGUAUAGUUGAUUUACAAUGUGUUAGUUUCAGGUGUACAGCAAAGUGAAUCAGUUAUACAUAUAUCCACUCUUUUUUUAGUGUUUAUUUCUUUUGACAUCCCUAGAGUGUCUAUAACUAUCUCAAAGAGGCACUGAGAAACUAGCUGGCAUUUCAUUCAGUUUCAUUCCCCAGAUGUACUAAGUGCAAUGGGCAUGGGCUCUAUUAUGUUCCCUCAUGAGUCUCCUGGUUUCCAGCCCAGUACCUAGCAGAGUAAAUGUUCAGUAAAUACUCACUGAAUGAAGAAAUUUUUUUAAAAAAAUAAGGCAUCUAAUUAUUAUUUAACUUUGCAUACCUUUUAUUGAAUGGGUCAUAUCUUUUUUUUAAAUAUAAAUUUAUUUUAUUUAUUUUAUUUUUGGCUGCGUUGGGUUUUUGUUGCUGCAUGCGGGCUUUUCUCUGGUUCCGGCAAGUGGGGGCUACACUUCGUUGCAGUGCGCGGGCUUCUCAUUGUGGUGGCUUCUGUUGUUUGGGACCACGGGCCCUAGGCACGUGGGCUUCAGUAGUUGUGGCACACGGGCUCAGUAGUUGUGGCUCAUGGGCUCUAGGGCACAGGCUCAGUAGUUGUGGUGCACGGGCUUAGUUGCUCCAUGGCAUGUGGGAUCUUCCUGGACCAGGGCUCGAACCCGUGUUCCCUGCAUUGGCAGGUGGAUUCUUAACCACUGCGCCACCAGGGAAGCCCCUGAAGGAAGAAAUUGAAGGGAAGUAUGAGCUUGGGAAUAUUUAGUUGGUGGAUGUGAAAAUUAAAUAAAGAUGAUUUGACCCUACAAUCACUGGGAAUCAUCACUGCCAAAGUAAUUCUGAGCAUUUUAAACUGAAGUAGUAUUAUAAAAAGGGUAUUAAAGUAUUGAAUUCUAUAAUGGGAAAAAAAAGGUUUUGAAACCAAGAAUUAGAAUUUAUUAAUUUUAUCUUUGUGUUGUCUUCCAAAUCUUGAGGCCUCAGCUCAGAAAGAUUGUUUAAAAGUAGGACUUCAGGGCUUCCCUGGUGGCACAGUGGUUAGGAGUCCACCUGCCGAUGCAGGGGUACGCGGGUUCAUGCCCCGGUCCGGGAAGAUCCCUCAUUACGCGGAGCGACUGGGCCCGUCAGCCAUGCCCGCUGAGCCUGUGCGUCCGGAGCCUGUGCUCCGCAACGGGAGAGGCCACAACAGUGAGAGGCCCGAGUACCGGGAAAAAAAAAAAAAAAGUAGAACUUCACUAAUUUGAAGUGAUUUUGAAGGUGUUGCCAUAUCCAAAGGGAGUUGCUCUGACUUGCUUUAGGGGUAACAUCCAACCCAAGUCCAGUCUGCAGCAAUUCCUAGUUUUGCUAUGUUUUCUUUCUGUGGCUUGGUUGGGGAAGAAAUGUUGCACAGAUUUCAAGCAUGCUUUAGGUCUGUUGUGUUCAGUAGUCCUGGCUGCAUGCUUAUGCCAUUGGUAUGGGGCCUGGGCAAGUAGCAUGAAUCAGAUCAAAACAGAUAUAUUGGGAGAAAAAUCAGUGUAUUUCUUCCUACUGUAAAUUAGGCCAGUGGCGAUUAUUCUAUGAGUAAUGUUCAGAGAGUUCACGGUCAUCAGAUUAUUCGUAGUAAAACGUUUUCUAGGCUGCUUUCUCACAAGUGAAUUUUCUAAAUAAUUGAACAGUCCAUUUAUGUGUAAAAUAAAAAAUAGAAAGACUGCUUUUGAUAAAAUUCUUUAAAAAGUAAUCUAUGGGGCUUCCCUGGUGGCUCAGUGGUUAAGAAUCCACCUGCCAAUGCAGGGAGCACGGGUUCGAGCCCUAGUCCGGGAAGAUUAUACGUGCCGCGGAGCAACUAAGCCCGUGCGCUACAACUACUGAGCCUGCGCUCUAGAGCUCAUGUGCCUAGAGCCUGAGCUCUGCAACAAGAGAAGCCACCGCAAUGAGAAGCCUGCACACCGCAGCAAAGGGUAGCCCCUGCUCACCGCAACUAGAGAAAAGCCUGGGUGCAGCAACAAAGACCCAGUGCAGCCAAAAAUAAAGUAAAUAAAAUAAAUAAAUUUAAAAAACCACUAUUCACUUUAUAGCAGUAUACCAUAUAUACUCAAUAUUUUUUUAAAAAAGGAAUCUAUAGUACACUUACUUGCCUUUGUAAAAUAACAAUACAGUUUAAUCUUCCCUUAAUGACUGAGGGGCCUCAUGAUGGCAUGGGUCAAUGGCCGUGAAACCUUGGCAGAUUGCUGAGAUGUGACAGUCCCUUUGUACUUUAAAGGCUCUCAGAGAGUUGGGACUUUUAUCUUUGUGUUUUAUUCUUUCCUGUCUCCUCCCUCACUUUCUGAUUGUUCCUCUCACCACUAUCUCUUUCCAGCCUUAAUUCUCCAUCAUAAUUUCCUAUGUUGAAUUAGAGACACCGUCAAACAUGCUUGUCAGAAGUGACUCUAAGAUAAUAGAAUAUGGGUUUCUCAUUCGCGACCAGGAUGCUCUGCUAUGAGUAAUGUGCUUAAGCUUUAGUUUUUGGUCAACCAGAGAGCUUUUUGCCUUUGUCAUCUUCUUUGCAUUCUUUAGUGGUAUCCUGGACAUGCUGAAUUUGUCUGAUUAAGGGACUUGUGAAUGUGUGCAGUGGCACAUUAAAACAAAAAAACAAAACAAAACAACAUGGGUUAGUUGUCCUAAUCCUCAAAAUUGGAGUUGACUUGUCAUUGCCUGGUUAGUAUUUUGCUCCAUCUCUGGCAUAUGGAAUCCUUUAUAGCAAGUACCUGCCAUUGUCUUCCUUUUGCUUAUGCAUUUUUAUCGAUAGUGUUUAUGUUUCCUAAUGGUGUUUUUAAAAAAUAUAUCAAAGUUUUAACUUUUUAAA
Long non-coding RNA from Lagenorhynchus albirostris (white-beaked dolphin), 4066 nucleotides. RefSeq lists it as uncharacterized. The record is from RefSeq and is a predicted model, not a curated record. The transcript has 2 exons. Lineage: Eukaryota; Metazoa; Chordata; Mammalia; Artiodactyla; Delphinidae.